CAGGACGUGGCCGAGAUAGAAAAGCACCUCACUUACACCGAGACCACACUCAUGCAAAUUGAGUCGUUCUGA
RNAcentral lists this transfer RNA (72 nucleotides) under Abramites hypselonotus (marbled headstander). RNAcentral describes it as "tRNA-Val". The record is from RNAcentral. Lineage: Eukaryota; Metazoa; Chordata; Actinopteri; Characiformes; Anostomidae.